This 460-nucleotide ribosomal RNA is filed under the name uncultured bacterium. RNAcentral's name for it is "partial 16S ribosomal RNA". It matches the Rfam family "Bacterial small subunit ribosomal RNA", at positions 338 to 795 of the family's 1533-position model. The record is from RNAcentral.
CCUACGGGAGGCAGCAGUGGGGAAUAUUGGUCAAUGGACGAGAGUCUGAACCAGCCAAGUAGCGUGAAGGAUGACUGCCCUAUGGGUUGUAAACUUCUUUUAUAUGGGAAUAAAACGUUCCACGUGUGGGAUUUUGUAUGUACCAUAUGAAUAAGGAUCGGCUAACUCCGUGCCAGCAGCCGCGGUAAUACGGAGGAUCCGAGCGUUAUCCGGAUUUAUUGGGUUUAAAGGGAGCGUAGGUGGAUUGUUAAGUCAGUUGUGAAAGUUUGCGGCUCAACCGUAAAAUUGCAGUUGAAACUGGCAGUCUUGAGUACAGUAGAGGUGGGCGGAAUUCGUGGUGUAGCGGUGAAAUGCUUAGAUAUCACGAAGAACUCCGAUUGCGAAGGCAGUUCACUGGACUGCAACUGACACUGAGGCUCGAAAGUGUGGGUAUCAAACAGGAUUAGAUACCCGAGUAGUC